This 1101-nucleotide ribosomal RNA is filed under the name Bacillus safensis. RNAcentral's name for it is "bacterial SSU rRNA". It matches the Rfam family "Bacterial small subunit ribosomal RNA", at positions 67 to 1158 of the family's 1533-position model. Lineage: Bacteria; Bacillati; Bacillota; Bacilli; Caryophanales; Bacillaceae. The record is from RNAcentral.
CGGACAGAAAGGGAGCUUGCUCCCGGAUGUUAGCGGCGGACGGGUGAGUAACACGUGGGUAACCUGCCUGUAAGACUGGGAUAACUCCGGGAAACCGGAGCUAAUACCGGAUAGUUCCUUGAACCGCAUGGUUCAAGGAUGAAAGACGGUUUCGGCUGUCACUUACAGAUGGACCCGCGGCGCAUUAGCUAGUUGGUGGGGUAAUGGCUCACCAAGGCGACGAUGCGUAGCCGACCUGAGAGGGUGAUCGGCCACACUGGGACUGAGACACGGCCCAGACUCCUACGGGAGGCAGCAGUAGGGAAUCUUCCGCAAUGGACGAAAGUCUGACGGAGCAACGCCGCGUGAGUGAUGAAGGUUUUCGGAUCGUAAAGCUCUGUUGUUAGGGAAGAACAAGUGCGAGAGUAACUGCUCGCACCUUGACGGUACCUAACCAGAAAGCCACGGCUAACUACGUGCCAGCAGCCGCGGUAAUACGUAGGUGGCAAGCGUUGUCCGGAAUUAUUGGGCGUAAAGGGCUCGCAGGCGGUUUCUUAAGUCUGAUGUGAAAGCCCCCGGCUCAACCGGGGAGGGUCAUUGGAAACUGGGAAACUUGAGUGCAGAAGAGGAGAGUGGAAUUCCACGUGUAGCGGUGAAAUGCGUAGAGAUGUGGAGGAACACCAGUGGCGAAGGCGACUCUCUGGUCUGUAACUGACGCUGAGGAGCGAAAGCGUGGGGAGCGAACAGGAUUAGAUACCCUGGUAGUCCACGCCGUAAACGAUGAGUGCUAAGUGUUAGGGGGUUUCCGCCCCUUAGUGCUGCAGCUAACGCAUUAAGCACUCCGCCUGGGGAGUACGGUCGCAAGACUGAAACUCAAAGGAAUUGACGGGGGCCCGCACAAGCGGUGGAGCAUGUGGUUUAAUUCGAAGCAACGCGAAGAACCUUACCAGGUCUUGACAUCCUCUGACACCCUAGAGAUAGGGCUUUCCCUUCGGGACAGAGUGACAGGUGUGCAUGGUUGUCGUCAGCUCGUGUCGUGAGAUGUUGGGUUAAGUCCCGCACGAGCGCAACCCUUGAUCUUAGUGCCAGCAUUUAGUGGCACUCUAAGGUGACUGCGUGACA